CAGAAUACUUGAGAAAAUCACAAAAUAAUCACAAUAUAUACUAUUGUUUUGUACUUUAUAGUAUAUGCAGUUUGGCUUACUUCUCAAAACCAAUUACAUAAACAGUGAAGAUUUUAUUCUUCCAAUGCUAAUGAAAUAGAAAUAGGGGCUUGGAGAAGGUUAAUAAGAUAUACAAGGUUACUGUAUUAGUCCAUUUUCACACUGCUCAUAAAGACAUACCCAAGACUGGGCAAUUUACAAAAGAAAGGAGUUUAUUGGACUUACAGUUCCUCGUGGCUGGGGAGGCCUCACAAUCAUGGAAGAAGGUUAAAGGCACAUCUCAUAUGGUGGCAGACAAGAGAAGAGAGCUUGUGCAGGAAAACUCCCCCUUACAGUAACCAUCAGAUCUCGUGAGCCUUACUCACUAUCACAAGAAUAGCAUGGGAAAGACCUGCCCCCAUGACUCAAUUACCUCCAACCAGGUUCCUUUCACAACAUAUGGGAAUUCAAGAUGAGAUUUGGGUGGGGACACAGCCAAACCCUGUCAUUUACAUUGUCAGUAAAUGACAGAGUUGGAUUAAGAAUCUAGGCAUCUCUGCUCUGCUGCGGAUUUGCAGGGGGUUCACGAUAUCAAGUUCCCUAAUUCUGAAGCUACAUUCACUUUAAAUAGCCAGAUGAGUCAAGUGUGGACCAGUCUGAAAUUCAGAAGCUCUGAAUUCUUCUGAGCACUCCCAGCCUGAUUUAGUAUUCUAAGGUGAUAUGACAUCAUAGUUUAGGGCAUGGGCCCCAGAGGCAUCCAGACCUUGUUUCACAUCCCUAAUUCCUCCACUUACUAGCUCGAUGAGCUUGAGCAAGGUAGUUUCAGUCUCAGUUUUCUUCUCUGUAAAUGGAGAUUUUCAUGAAACUUAAAUGAGAUAACAAAUGUAAAAUUCUUGGCCACAAUAAGUGUUGCAUUAAUCAUUGCUACUAGCAUUUUACUUUAUGCUCAUUUCUCUUCUCCCAUUAACGCUCUGCAACUGUUAAUAUGUAUAUAAAAGUUUCUUAGAGGAAAGAAAAUGAAAACACAUAUAGGUUUCAUCACACACAAAACACUGAACACACAUGGAGACUCUUUCCCCCAGGGACUUACAUUCUACCUCUUGGAAUUACUGCAAAGUCCCUUGAAUCCAGAUGUAACAUAGCAUUUCUUUGGACUGAAUAAAUAAUACAUCUUGCUUAGCCAUGUGACUCCAUUUUUUAAGUGAGAACAGCAGUACCCAGCUGCCCUAAAAAGCCGAAGAGAGUGAAAUGUAAAACUUGAAUUGCC
Molecule: long non-coding RNA, 1285 nt
Filed under: Homo sapiens (human)
Lineage: Eukaryota; Metazoa; Chordata; Mammalia; Primates; Hominidae
Description: HSALNT0090516
Source: RNAcentral